This 217-nucleotide unclassified non-coding RNA is filed under the name fungal sp. RNAcentral describes it as "partial internal transcribed spacer region". The stretch from base 1 to 46 matches the Rfam family "Eukaryotic small subunit ribosomal RNA", at positions 1786 to 1831 of the family's 1831-position model. RNAcentral also lists the same sequence under 2 other names. The record is from RNAcentral. Lineage: Eukaryota; Fungi.
AAGUCGUAACAAGGUUUCCGUAGGUGAACCUGCGGAAGGAUCAUUAUCGUAGGGCUUCGGCCCUGUCGAGAUAGAACCCUUGCCUUUUUGAGUACCUUUCGUUUCCUCGGCAGCCUCGGCUGCCAAUGGGGACCCCAAAAAACACUUUGCAGUACCUGUAACAGUCUGAACAAACAAACAAAAAUUAAAACUUUCAACAACGGAUCUCUUGGUUCUG